GAUGAACGCUGGCGGCGUGCCUAAUACAUGCAAGUCGAGCGAACAGACGAGGAGCUUGCUCCUCUGACGUUAGCGGCGGACGGGUGAGUAACACGUGGAUAACCUACCUAUAAGACUGGGAUAACUUCGUGAAACCGGAGCUAAUACCGGAUAAUAUAUUGAACCGCAUGGUUCAAUAGUGAAAGACGGUUUUGCUGUCACUUAUAGAUGGAUCCGCGCCGCAUUAGCUAGUUGGUAAGGUAACGGCUUACCAAGGCAACGAUGCGUAGCCGACCUGAGAGGGUGAUCGGCCACACUGGAAGUGAGACACGGUCCAGACUACUACGGGAGGAAGCAGUAGGGAAUAUUCCGCAAUGGGCGAAAGCCUGACGGAGCAACGCCGCGUGAGUGAUGAAGGUCUUCGGAUCGUAAAACUCUGUUAUUAGGGAAGAAAAAAUGUGUAAGUAAAUAUGCACGUAUUGACGGUACCUAAUCAGAAAGCAACGGCUAACUACGUG
Molecule: ribosomal RNA, 497 nt
Filed under: uncultured bacterium
Lineage: Bacteria
Description: partial 16S ribosomal RNA
Rfam family: Bacterial small subunit ribosomal RNA
Source: RNAcentral